Long non-coding RNA from Maniola jurtina (meadow brown), 118 nucleotides. RefSeq lists it as uncharacterized. The record is from RefSeq and is a predicted model, not a curated record. NCBI's taxonomy places the organism in Eukaryota, Metazoa, Arthropoda, Insecta, Lepidoptera, Nymphalidae. The transcript has 3 exons.
AUGUGCAGACUUACGAUGGUAUAGCUUGUCUAAGCUGAAAUGACGCGCCCCACUACAUAAUUUUGUUGACUUAGAUGUGUAAAUUGCGGUAUUGGGGCGCGUCAUUUCAAAAUAGACA